UGGCUGCAUGGCUGUCGGUCAGCUCGUGUCGUGAGAUGUCGGUUAAGUCCGCUAACGAGCGCAACCCUCGCUGUGUGUUACAAGUGUCACACGGAACUGCCGGUCAUAAACCGGAGGAAGGUGGGGAUGACGUCAAGUCAGCAUGGCCUUUAUAUCCUGGGCUACACACACGCUACAAUGGGAAGGGACAAUAGGUUGCGAAGCCGCGAGGCGGAGCCAAUCCAGCAAAACUUCCCUCAGUUCAGAUUGCAGGCUGCAACCCGCCUGCAUGAAGUUGGAGUUGCUAGUAAACGCAGGUCAGCCAUACUGCGUUGAAUACGUUCCCGGGGCUU
This 332-nucleotide ribosomal RNA is filed under the name uncultured Anaerolineaceae bacterium. Its description in RNAcentral is "bacterial SSU rRNA". It matches the Rfam family "Bacterial small subunit ribosomal RNA", at positions 1039 to 1382 of the family's 1533-position model. Lineage: Bacteria; Bacillati; Chloroflexota; Anaerolineae; Anaerolineales; Anaerolineaceae. The record is from RNAcentral.